AGUGUUUCCGCCCGGACCGGAAAAACAGAACACCGGAACUUCCGGUAGCGCCGUAAGAGGGAAAAUCAGGGAAUUCGAUGCACCUGUGCCUAGUUAGGGACAGCGGUUGGUGAUUGGAGGAUACGCUGGACAAGGCAGUACUUAAGGCCAAGUUAUUUCACAGUCUGGGAGCUCUUUCUGGCUGGAAUUGUAUGAUUGUGAAGACAUCGCGAACCUUAAAGGUUGAGAAGUGAACGGAUUAUACGGCGAAUUGAGACGACGUGAAAAAGGGGAUUGGAAGCGGCAUUGAUGUGAGUACUAAAAAGCAAGCCGAAAGUGCCCUGUAUAUUGACCUGGCGUUGUGUAGAUCUCCCCAGGAGGAGGAGGGCGGCCCUACCCCUAAUAUAGCGUGGUGGGAGAGCCGAAGGAAUACUUAUUGAAGUAGUCACAACGACGACAUCACUAGCUAGGCCGCAUAUUCCAUCGCCAGAUCCGAACCAAGCGAAGUGAAGGAAGACGGGUGUCCUUUUCGUACACUGAGUGUGGUGGGUGAGUCUUCGUGCUGUGAAAACCUAUAAUUUUGACGUGGUGCUGUAUAUUGCUGUGGGUUGCUGUGUAUUGCCGUGUGUCCUGUCAGAUAAACCCCCGCCUUCACGCACUCCGCCGCGGGAGGACAAGGAGACUGCUGGUUCUAGCCUAGUUCAGUACAGUAUAUGUUGUGAGCGUGCUUCAGAUCUCCGGAGAUAGCACGGUACGCUGUGUCCAGCCCAGAGGUGAGAGCCAUUCAAAGCAAACUAACUGUGCUAUUGUGCCCAAGUUGAUAUCUGUGGAGAGAAAAGGAGAGAGAGUGGGUAACACGAGGAGAGACCGAGGAAACCUGUACUUACGCCGCUGCCUGUGGAGAAAGAGAAAGCGAGUGAGCACCCAAGGAACGAACUGUGUGAACCAGUACUUACUGUGAGCUGAAAUCAGUGAAGAGGUGAGAGCAAAACCAAGCCGAAUUAACUGUGCCUUUGCGUCCCAGCCGUUGCCUGUGGAGGAAGAGAAAGAGAGUGAGCACCCCGAGAACGAACUGUGUGAACCAGUACUUACCGUGAGUUGUAUUCAGCGAAGAGGAGGAAGAAGGAGGGCGCUACGGAUACCUAAGACUCUGGCCUGGCCCCGAGCCCCACGCCCCGGAUCCCCGUGGCCCCCUUGCUCCCUGACCUCUUCCCGGCCAUAGCCCAUCUGGAGGACCGAGUCAGAGUUUAGUUUUAAUUGCCCUUUCCCUAUUCCCCAAGCUAUUUUUAAAUAUUUAAAUAAAGAUUGUUUUAUCACUUA
Long non-coding RNA from Carassius gibelio (silver crucian carp), 1299 nucleotides. RefSeq lists it as uncharacterized. The record is from RefSeq and is a predicted model, not a curated record. Lineage: Eukaryota; Metazoa; Chordata; Actinopteri; Cypriniformes; Cyprinidae. The transcript is spliced from 2 exons.